Molecule: long non-coding RNA, 427 nt
Organism: Podarcis raffonei (Aeolian wall lizard)
Lineage: Eukaryota; Metazoa; Chordata; Lepidosauria; Squamata; Lacertidae
Exons: 2
Source: RefSeq, a predicted model, not a curated record
GAGCCAGCCUUCAUAAAGCCUCUGCAUGCUGUUAAGACAGCAGCUCUCCUUGGGUGAUGUCCAGGCUUAGUCUUUCUGGCUGGGAUCUUCCAUAGCCUACAUUGACUUGACUGUGCUUUUCUGGCUAUGAUCCUGCUGUUACAGCAGAUACGGCAAGUUACACUUCAGUGAUGUAACCUUCAAGUCGUAGUGUGUGAAAUCUAGCAUGCUAUUGUCUCCUUGGGACGCAAGGGAUGGAGGAAGAGUCUAGAACCCAGUUAGAACCAUGAAACGUAGCAUCUCAGAAGGCAAAUCAAGGAUCGCUCUUCAUGAGAAAGAAUCCGGAUGGUCAGUAACGUUUCUACAAGGCAAGCCUGAACCUUUAGAUUUCUUAGUCCAUCCGAAAAUAUAUCUGAUAUAGCAAAAACAGUAAAGCUGCUGAACACUC